Molecule: ribosomal RNA, 422 nt
Filed under: uncultured bacterium
Lineage: Bacteria
Description: bacterial SSU rRNA
Rfam family: Bacterial small subunit ribosomal RNA
Source: RNAcentral
UAAGGAAUAUUGGACAAUGGAGGCAACUCUGAUCCAGCCAUGCCGCGUGAAGGAAUAAGGCCCUAUGGGUUGUAAACUUCUUUUAGACGGGACAAAACCCCUUUACGUGUAAAGAGUUGAUGGUACUGUCAGAAUAAGCAUCGGCUAACUUCGUGCCAGCAGCCGCGGUAAUACGAAGGAUGCGAGCGUUAUCCGGAUUUACUGGGUUUAAAGGGUGCGUAGGUGGGCUUAUAAGUCAGUGGUGAAAUCUCCGAGCUUAACUUGGAAACUGCCGUUGAUACUAUAGGUCUUGAAUUAUCUGGAGGUAAGCGGAAUAUGUCAUGUAGCGGUGAAAUGCUUAGAUAUGACAUAGAACACCAAUUGCGAAGGCAGCUUACUACAUAUAAAUUGACGCUGAGGCACGAAAGCGUGGGGAUCAAACA